This 1383-nucleotide ribosomal RNA is filed under the name Triticum aestivum (bread wheat). Its description in RNAcentral is "partial small subunit ribosomal RNA". Lineage: Eukaryota; Viridiplantae; Streptophyta; Magnoliopsida; Poales; Poaceae. The record is from RNAcentral.
AUGCCGAUGGUGGCCGCCGCUGCAGCAGCGCCGGACCAACCCUUCUUCUCCCAGCCCCGCCGCCCCCCACAGCCGCCUAGUCUCUUCUCCAUAAGAAAAGCCGCCCUCCCGCCGCGGUGCUGCAGCAGUCACUCCUCGCACUGUCGCUGCCACUGCUCCUGGAGCAGCAGCGCGCACGCGCGCAGGAGCAGCCAUUGCCGUGCCGGUGCAACGCCGGACCACCCGGACGAGCCGCCGCCGUCGGGCAGAGGCGGCCGUUACCAUCCUUGGGAGGACAUCGCCGAGAAGCUUCAGCUCGACGACGGAGAGCCGGCGCGCCUCACGGACGCUGAAUCCGCCCGGACAAUCGUCGAGGUGAACAACAAUGCAACGGUGAUGAUCUCCACGCUCAUCGAUGAUGGCGUGCACGAGAGGAUCAUCUUUCCGGAGUUCCCCUACUUGACCGACGAGAAUGGAGAUAUUUACUUCGAGGUCGACAAUGACGAUGCAGUCAUGGAAAACAUUAUGGGCGACGAUAAGAUUGCGCAUGUUAUCAUUGGACUUGAUAACACAGACGUCUUUGCUGACUUGGACCUAGCGGCGGCAUCAUCAACUGCAUUUGCACAAGAAGAAGAUGACGAUGAUUCUGACGAAGAUGAUGACGGCGAUUCUGAGGAUGAAUAUGAGGAGGAGGGCGUAUAUGCUGUUGAUGAAGAAGAUGAGGAUGACGACGGCGAUGAUGAUGAUGAAGAAGACGAUGCACCUAACUGGUCCAACCUUGAAACCGUAAAUUCCUGUCAUCCACUAUACUUUGCGAGGAUGAUUGUGGAGAAUGCGAGCAAAUCAAGUAUAGACUGGUUGGACCGGCCACCUGCAAGCCUUGUUGUUGAGGGUCAGCUGAGACCUGCGUUUCCUGAAGAGAGCACCAUGGUUUCCAGGCAUUUAUUAAAUGGUGAUGAGCCGCUGAAAGACGACAAAAAGGGAUGUGGGGCUACAUUUUUCAAGGUUGAAGUUCUGAGCAUUGAGCUGAUCACUGCAUAUGGUACAGAGCCCAAGGUAAAGAUAGAAGAAUACCGGAAAUCUAGGCCGGACAUCAUCGCGCACUCUGCACCGAACAUAAUAUCGCGCUUGAGAGCCAGUGGAGACAAGAUAACACAAGCUCUGAAAUCGCUCUGUUGGAGGUGCAAGGCCAUUCAAGUAGAGGAAGCAGCAAUCAUCGGCGUGGACUGCCUUGGGUUUGACCUGAGAUUGUGCUCGGGAACACAAGUGCAGACAUUGAGAUUUGCUUUCCCUACAAAGGCUACUUCGGAGUUCAGCGCAGAGAAGCAAAUAAACGAGCUUCUGUUUCCUAGGAGGACACAUCAAGAAGGGGAGUCACCACAGCCUCAACAGAAAGAGUACUGA